This 465-nucleotide ribosomal RNA is filed under the name uncultured bacterium. RNAcentral's name for it is "bacterial SSU rRNA". It matches the Rfam family "Bacterial small subunit ribosomal RNA", at positions 338 to 795 of the family's 1533-position model. The record is from RNAcentral.
CCUACGGGAUGCACCAGUGGGGAAUAUUGCACAAUGGGCGCAAGCCUGAUGCAGCCAUGCCGCGUGUAUGAAGAAGGCCUUCGGGUUGUAAAGUACUUUCAGCGGGGAGGAAGGUGUUGUGGUUAAUAACCUCAGCAAUUGACAUUACCCGCAGAAGAAGCACCGGCUAACUCCGUGCCAGCAGCCGCGGUAAUACGGAGGGUGCAAGCGUUAAUCGGAAUUACUGGGCGUAAAGCGCACGCAGGCGGUUGAUUAAGUUAGAUGUGAAAUCCCCGGGCUUAACCUGGGAAUGGCAUCUAAGACUGGUCAGCUAGAGUCUUGUAGAGGGGGGUAGAAUUCCAUGUGUAGCGGUGAAAUGCGUAGAGAUGUGGAGGAAUACCGGUGGCGAAGGCGGCCCCCUGGACAAAGACUGACGCUCAGGUGCGAAAGCGCGGGGAGCAAACAGGAUUAGAUACCCCGGUAGUC